This 43-nucleotide transfer RNA is filed under the name Blennosperma nanum. RNAcentral describes it as "partial tRNA-His". Lineage: Eukaryota; Viridiplantae; Streptophyta; Magnoliopsida; Asterales; Asteraceae. RNAcentral also lists the same sequence under 83 other names. The record is from RNAcentral.
GGCGGAUGUAGCCAAGUGGAUCAAGGCAGUGGAUUUGUGAAUC